GAUGAAGAACGCAGCGAAAUGCGAUAAGUAGUGUGAAUUGCAGAAUUCAGUGAAUCAUCGAAUCUUUGAACGCACAUUGCGCCCGCCAGUAUUCUGGCGGGCAUGCCUGUUCGAGCGUCAUUACAACCCUCAGGCCCCCGGGCCUGGCGUUGGGGAUCGGCGGAAGCCCCCUGCGGGCACAACGCCGUCCCCCAAAUACAGUGGCGGUCCCGCCGCAGCUUCCAUUGCGUAGUAGCUAACACCUCGCAACUGGAGAGCGGCGCGGCCACGCCGUAAAACACCCAACUUCUGAAUGUUGACCUCGAAUCAGGUAGGAAUACCCGCUGAACUUAAGAAUAUCAAUAAGCGGAGGA
RNAcentral lists this unclassified non-coding RNA (353 nucleotides) under soil metagenome. RNAcentral's name for it is "partial contains 5.8S ribosomal RNA, internal transcribed spacer 2, and large subunit ribosomal RNA". The stretch from base 1 to 120 matches the Rfam family "5.8S ribosomal RNA", at positions 35 to 154 of the family's 154-position model. The record is from RNAcentral.